UACAAUGUUGAAAAUGUUUUUGAAAAGGAGA
This 31-nucleotide non-coding RNA is filed under the name Rattus norvegicus (Norway rat). The record is from RNAcentral. Lineage: Eukaryota; Metazoa; Chordata; Mammalia; Rodentia; Muridae.